RNAcentral lists this ribosomal RNA (305 nucleotides) under uncultured bacterium. Its description in RNAcentral is "bacterial SSU rRNA". It matches the Rfam family "Bacterial small subunit ribosomal RNA", at positions 338 to 659 of the family's 1533-position model. The record is from RNAcentral.
CCUACGGGAGGCAGCAGUGGGGGACAUUGCACAAUGGGGGGAACCCUGAUGCAGCGACGCCGCGUGGGUGAAGGAGUAUUUCGGUAUGUAAAGCCCUAUCGGCAGGGAAGAAGCAAGACGGUACCUGACUAAGAAGCCCCGGCUAACUACGUGCCAGCAGCCGCGGUAAUACGUAGGGGGCAAGCGUUAUCCGGAUUUACUGGGUGUAAAGGGAGCGUAGACGGAAUUGCAAGUCUGAUGUGAAAAUCCGGGGCCCAACCCCGGAACUGCAUUGGAAACUGUAUUUCUAGAGUGUCGGAGAGGCG